GUGCUCGCUUUGGCAGCACAUGUUCUAAAAUUGGAAUGAUACAGAGAAGAUUAGCAUGGCCCCUGCACAAGGAUGACAUGCAAAUUCGUGAAGCAUUCCAUAUUUAA
Oryctolagus cuniculus (rabbit) is the source of this 107-nucleotide small nuclear RNA. The record is from Ensembl. Lineage: Eukaryota; Metazoa; Chordata; Mammalia; Lagomorpha; Leporidae.